GUGUAUUUUGCUUCCUUUUCAGCAUCCAAGUCUCAUUUGUAAAGGAAAUUAAAAAAUCAAUAAUUUAAAUACAAUUCACAAAUUCAUAUCUAAGUAUACAUAGCUACAUAGACCAUAUGCGUACGCAUUCAUGCAUGUAUACGUAUAUAUUAUGACCAUAAGUGUGCAUAUAGAGUAUGUAAUGGCUGAUGUUCCAUGUGAGGAUCACCUGGAUAUCACAAGGCAUGCAGAAUGCCCAGAGGUUGCCCAGACCACUAGGCACAACCUGUAACAAAAGUGGAUCAACUGUAGUGGUAGUAUCUUGCUUCAUAUUUGUUGAAAUAGCCUAUGAAGGAGGAAGAAUGUAUAUCACAAGGCAUGCAGAAUGCCCAGAGGUUGCCCAGACCACUAGGCACAACCUGUAACAAAAGUGGAUCAACUGUAGUGGUAGUAUCUUGCUUCAUAUUUGUUGAAAUAGCCUAUGAAAGAGGAAGAAUGUAUACCUUGUUUUUGUUGGAAAAAGCUUCUGAUAGCCAUAUAGACACUAUUCUUGGAUGGCCUGGCUUUAGGUUUUAUAAUUAGCUGGAAAAACUUUGCUUCAUUCUUUCAUGGAUAUUUCUUAUGUUGGAUGCUUCUCUCUAUAGUCAACUUCUACUUGAUGGUACAUGGUGUGUACAAAGCUUAUGGUAGGCUAGUGAUGGACCUCAUUUGGCAGGCAAGGAGGAAAAAGGUUAAUGGACUUGUGUGUUAAGGCAAAUAUUGGAGCAAUUACAUGCAUGCAUGCUGUUUGUGGAUAGACUAGGAAGUUCAUCUUCAGAAAGUCUUUUCUGGCGAUCAACUUGAAGCCCCAGCCAUUUGAUUCAUUAGUUGCUUAUCCCCAAAAUGAGUCAUCAUGGUGAGUGCUAUUGGCUUGUGAAAUAAUUUUAGUUAAUGAAAAGGUAGA
Molecule: long non-coding RNA, 922 nt
Filed under: Elaeis guineensis (African oil palm)
Lineage: Eukaryota; Viridiplantae; Streptophyta; Magnoliopsida; Arecales; Arecaceae
Description: long non-coding RNA (EGUI_LNC043679)
Source: RNAcentral